RNAcentral lists this long non-coding RNA (1499 nucleotides) under Equus caballus (horse). Its description in RNAcentral is "lncRNA (ENSECAG00000056933.1)". Lineage: Eukaryota; Metazoa; Chordata; Mammalia; Perissodactyla; Equidae. The record is from RNAcentral.
UAUUCGUUCCAGCGGCGGCAACAGCAGUGGCGAUGGGGUAGCAUCCACGCCGUUCGGCUGCAAGGUGGUCGCUUUACUCUCUGCUGCCUGCGCUCAGUUGCUGCCGGCUCUCGGGCCUGACCCACCUGGGCUUCCGCAGCCUCUGCGAUCUGUCAUACUUCUUAGAAACUCAGUCGGAGCUGGUUUCCUUCGCUUGCAACAAAAACCAUAGCUGCUACAUUGUUGCUUUUAAAACAGCCAUUUUUUUCUUAACAGUAGUGGAAGAAUUCCACCGCCACCCUUCCCGCCAAGGGGAAUAUUACGGGAAACUUCACUGCGUAAUGCAGGGGGAACUGGAGCUGCGCUGGUAGAUGAAACUGAGGUUCAGAGAGGUUAAGCCAUUUUUCCAAAGUCACACAGUAAGUGAUGGUAUCUUUUAUUGAUAAAACCUAGAAUGUUUGGUUCUUCCACCCACAAUCUCUCAAAUUCUAGGGUAAGAGAAAUGGACCUUGGGUUCCAGAGAGAAAGCUGGGCCUUUUUGUCAUGUCACGAUCAUGUCAGCUCCUCACUUUCUACUGCCUCACCCUUGCUUGCUUAUUGGACAGACAGUGAUUUCUUUUUCCUUUUUUUAAAGAUUGACGCCUGAGCUAACAUCUGUUGCCAAUCUUCUCCUUUUUUUCAUCUCCUCCCCAGAGCACCCCAGUACAGAGUUGUACAUUCUAGUUGUAGGUCCUUCUGGUUGUGGCAUGUGGGAUGUCGCCUCAACAUGGCUUGAUGAGCGGUGCCACGUCCAAGCCCAAGAUCUGAACCGGCGAAACCCAGGCCGCCGAAGCGGAGCAUGUGAACCCAACCACUCAGCCACGGGGCCGGCCCUGACAGUGAUGUUUUUAAUUUCAGAGACUCCAAGUGGUCUGCAGGGAAGCCGUGGGUUGAGUGGGGGCUGGAAGAGAAGAGAAAGGUGUGGAUUUAAAAGAAAAAACUCUCUCUGAAUGCCCAGAACUUUUCUGAGUACCUGUCCCCUUAAUUUCCUGCACAUUUGUGGCUUUGGGAAAAAGCAGUCCCAGUGUAGCCAGUCUGGGCCAGAGAGACCUUCCGAGGAGCCUGGGGGAGUUGGAGGGGCAGGGAUGGUGAAGUCUUCCGCGCGUGUCCCUGUGAGGAGAUUCUGUACGGACACUGACGCUCUGCCUCGUGUAGUAGGAGAGUCAGCAGGUCAUGGGGCAAGAACAUGGACUUUGGAACCCAUUAGGAGCCAAGUUCAAAUCUCAGCUUUCCCACUUAAAAGCUGGGCGACCUUGGGCAAGUUACUUAACUUUCUUGAGUCUGUUUCCUCUUCCACAGAAAGAGGGUCUUUAUCUCCCUUGCAAGGUUGUUGUGAAGAUAGAGCUAUUGUUGAGAAGCUGAAACACUGAUUUGGCUUGUAUUGUGUGCUGCGAGUGCUAACAUUAACAAUGCGAAUGGUUUCUGUUGUCAUGGGACUUAUGAUUUUGAGGGAGACAGACCAAAAAAAGACAAUUAUAAUA